AGAGGAGCAUAGAUAAUGCUUCUGGCUGGCCCAAGGAAGCUGUAGUAACAUGGACAGCUCAGUUGCUGGCAGGGACUGGGAGAGCAAGAUUUAGGGCUCCUGGCUGGCUGCUGGGACUUGGUUGCUGUAUGCCCUGAGCUCUGUCCAGCCCUUACCAAAGAGGACUGAUGGAAAAGAACCUUGCAGCACCCCAUAUAAGAGAGCAUUAAAGCCUGGUGAACAAUUGCCCAACAUCAGACUCUGGAGCCUCUCCAAGGAACCACUCAAGCAUGAUUUCAUCCUUUCCAACAGGAUCUGUAAGGCUAGCUACACCUCUGUCUGAGAGCACCUCUUCAGCUGUUAGGCUGCAUGCCUUUACCUAUCUGGAGAUGGGAUUUCACAGUUCUUUCACUUCUAGACCAGGACCUGGACUAUGUAACCUAUGUGGCAACCAUGAUUAUCCUACAGGUCUGAAAUGAAUUGGUCAGGAGGUGUAUGAGCUGGAAGGGAAAGGGCCAUUCUGAGAAGACAGGAUGAAAAGACAAUGAGAAUGAGAACAAGAAGAUGAACCUGAGGAAGAAGCUGAAUUCCAAAACAUAUUGCCCAGGCAGUAUUGCCUUGUGGAUUACCAUAUCCCGGUUGACAUAUGAAUGUAGAAGUGAUAUACUCUAUGGGUUGUCCAAAUUUUCAUUUGGCUCUGAUUGGAGUUCAUAAAAGAUAUGUGUGCCUUGUUUUCAGAAACAAAAGCUGCAUCUGUGCAUGGAAAUAGUUAUUUGUGUAUAUCACAUACCACACAAACAGGUAUGACUGCAAAUUUGGAGUGUACACCAAAUGGAGGUCCACUGAAAAGCUGGACCUACAUGCCCAGUGAGUAUGGAAGUGUGUUGCAGAUGUGAAACAAAUAUAUGUUAAUAAACAGCAGUUGUAGCCCAGGAUCUGAGCAUAGCUCAAAGAAUUUGAAUCAACUUCUGAGCUGAUCCAAUUUAAUCUAUGUGGCUUGUGUUCAACAACCUAGUUCUUUCUAUUGUGGAGUGUGUCUGUCUUAUGAGAUAAUGAUAGUCUAUCUAAUCAUCUCACCUUGUCACCACCCCCUAGAGAUUCAUAGACACUGCUGGGUUGAAACAUAGUGACUAUUAACACAUUCUUGGAGAGAUGCCUAGGCCACUUAAAGAGCUCGUGGAGGCUUUGGUGGAAAAAAAAAAUCCUUCUGUUAACCUCUUCACUGCUGAAUAUAUGUACAAUCCUCUCUGUAAGGAAGUUUGUGAUUUUGUGCUGAGAUAUCCUAUAACUAUUUUCUCUUUAAGAGAUCAAAGGAAAAUUUAUAUUAUGGAGGUGAUAGUUCUGACUGCAUAGCUAAGGAUAUAUUGAAAAAUGAAGUCAAAGAAGAGAACUAUCUAACUGGGUUUGUAUAAAGAACAACAUAUAUCCUUCCCAAAUACACAGCACUUAAUACAAGGGCUAGAUUUAUUUUUUUCUGAAAAUGACAAGUCAUUCCGUUGAAUAGGUUAACGGUGAGAUGCAUAUAAAAUGAUCUUGAUUUUUUUCACCGGCUUUACAUUUCUUUGCGUCCUUCCAAUUUAAUAUUGUUAAAAGUUGGAAACAUCAGACUUAACACACUGAUCAACAUUAAUUGUGCGCCAGAACCUGGCCAUUUUUCCUGCCCUUUUGCACCAUUCUGGCCCUCAGGAUUUGGCCCUAAUAAGUUAACCACUUCAAUCCCCAUAUAGAUAUAUAAGAAAGAGCAUGAACCUUAAGAAAAAAAGAAGGGAAAAGGUAAAAAGAAUGAUAAUGUGUGUAAUUUGGAUAGAAUCCUUUAUUGCUUAGUUAAUUUUCAUUUAUCCUAAACUUCUAUAUAUUUGAGAAGAGUAUAAUUCUGGCCAUAAUUUCCUGAAAUGAUACCAGCUUUCUAAUUCAAGGAAAACAGUCCUAUAAGGUUUGAGGCAAAGGACUCCAUCAUCUUUGAAGUCAAAGUGCUACGUACACACUUCAUCAGCAGAAAUGCACUUCUAGUUAACCUUUCUCAUGUUUUGUAUUUCACUAAAAUCCUGUAAUAACAUAACAUAUAUUCAUGUAAUUAGUUAUCACAGUUGUUGACUUUGUGGGUGAAAUCCUAACCUCACUGAAAUCAAUGGCAAAACUCCAGUCGACUUGGGGCGGGGAGAGGGGCAGGAUUUCACUGUUUGUUUAUUAUGGACUCGACCUUACUCCCAGUGAAU
Molecule: long non-coding RNA, 2195 nt
Organism: Dermochelys coriacea (leatherback sea turtle)
Lineage: Eukaryota; Metazoa; Chordata; Testudines; Dermochelyidae
Exons: 4
Source: RefSeq, a predicted model, not a curated record